GUCUGCAAGCCUUAUGUUGACAAAAUCUUUCACAGAUUGAGGUUUCUAAUUUUUGCAUGGUACAAUUUCCCAUUACAGCAGGUUUGUUUUAGUAGCCAUGAAUACAUAUUUAUUUAUAUUGGAUUACUGAUACGGUUAGUUUAGUUUUUUGACCAUAUCAUUGGUUGAUAUGUUUUGUUGGUGGGUCAUUUAGUGCAGGUGGACUUGGUUUGGUUUGCAUGAUUGUGACUCGCUGAUAUAGAACUCUUUGCUCAGCUAAAACUUACUUCAGUGUAGUGGUUAAAUUUGAUUUAAUAGUAAAACAGUGAUCCUGAUUAGUCUUUUGGGUACAAUCAAUGUUUUGUGUAGGUUUGCAUUCUGAUAACAUCAAGCUGCAAAAGGAAAAGAUAUAGGUUUGUUCUACUUUCAAGCAAAAUAGUUAUUUUCAAACUCAUUCUAUGCUGAUUGAUUGUCUAGAUAAUGAAUGCAUGCUCACCCACAUGCAUGCAUACAUGUGUACACACACACACACACAAACAAACAAACAAACAAACAAACAAACAAACAAACAAACAAACAAAACAUUUUUAUAUCAUGAGGAAUUUUCUUUCUUUCCGUAGUUCACUUUAUUUGGCUUUGAUGCUAUUGUAGCUUUACUGAGACCAGGUAUUUGGUGAAAGUAAGGCAUUUAUUGCAGGACAACAUGGUACAUUUCAGUGAUGAUAAAGAUCCAACAAGGUUAUUUUUAUUAUAAUUUUUUUUUAAGUAUGAUUAACUUUUCCUUCCUUCUAAAAUUGACAGACUUUCCGUAAUAUGGAAUUUGGAAAAUUUGUCACAUUAUAAUUACAUGAUUUUUGUUUCAUUCUGUCAUUCAGAGCAAUAUGUUUUCUGCUUCAGAAGUCGUGGGGGCAACCAUUGUCAGUGUUUAUUAAUAAUGUACAUAGCACCAAAAAAGUAGAACUUUACAGAAUGUUUAACACUGUCCCAAACCGUGGUUAGUUUCUCAUGAUGUGCUUUGUUGUAUCGAGUAAACAUUUUUUAUAUACACACAAAUAUAUAUAAAAAACUGAAUUCCUGACAUUUAUCCUACAAGUGUUUCCUUUGUAUGUAGAACCAAAACUAAAGACAGCCUUGACCUUGUUUUUUUGUUAGUAAAUAUUUGACGGCGUUUUAAAGGGAAAAAAAAUAAAAUAUGGCCUAUAUAUACCAUACAAAUAUGGGUAUGUGAAGCCGAUUCACUUUUCUAGCCCCCAGUUUGUCCAUGUGUCUGAUAUCUGUGUGUUGUGUUUUGCCAUAAGGUGGCUACCUUUUGAAGUCAGCUGUCAUUCAUUUUGAACUAAUAUUUUUCUUAAGGUAUUGUUUGGUUUCCUGGUAUUGCGCCCCCCCCCCCUCCCCCAUGCUGUCCUGUUCAGAAUCAUUGAAAAUAUCUCUGCAAAAUGAAACAUGGUCCUAUGUGGAAACUUAAAAAUAAAUGGUUUCCUGUGCCUGUUAGCAUAGGUUAGCUGUUUUCCAGUUUGGUAUAAUAAUCUGCCAUUUGCGGUAAGGAGUUUUACAUUUGUAAUCAACUUUUCUCUUAAAGUAUUUUUUCAUAGUGUAUAAGCAUAUGUAUUCACAGCACAUAGUUCACACACACCACACAGUACAGUCAAUUAAAUGCUACAUUUCUUUUCUUAGUAAGCGAAGGGGGCACAGGAGCAGGUGCCCUUUCCUGUAGGUCUUGUAAGUUGUAGAAGGUUGCAUGAUUCUGCGUUCAAUUAGAUUUGUUUGUAAAUGUUCCCCAUUCAUGGUUUGAUUCUUUUGCCCUUUUGUUUUGUUUUGUUCCUUUUAUGUUUAGUAUUUUGAACAGACAUGCCUCAAAGGAAUGGUUUGGGGUUUUGGCAAUGAGUCCCUUCCUCUAUUUCUCCAGAGUCAGAUUAACUGAAUUUCAGUAGCAGACAAUCCAGAAUUACUUACUAUAGUGAAUGCAAAAAAAGGUCUACUCCCCUCAUACUUACCCUUUUUAUAUAUCUGUCCAGUGUGAAGGAAGUUAGAUUUUUGCAAGUCAGUGCUAACUAGUGUUAACGCCAUGACUAGAAGUCAACAGGACCAGCUAUGAUGUUAGCUGCUUCCAUAGACAUUGAGUCCUUGUGCUUAUGCUAGUUAGUAAUUGCACAUACAUUAUAUAAAUGCUUCCUCCCAACUGCAUGCAUAAACAGGAAAAUCUUAUCCAAAAGUUCAUCUGACCCUGGGAAAGUAGAUAAAAGGCCUCAUCGCUAAAAUCCCAGACUAGCCCUUAAAUUCUAUGGACUCUUCUUCACACUUGUUUUUGUAUUGAAUUAAAACUAUGAAUCCUAUGGAUUUUAUAAGUAUUGGUAAUGCCAUUUUAGUGCAUUAGUAUUAGACAGGUUAUGUCUGAUAACUGAGAACCAGGCUCAUAUUGGACCUAUGUGUACCUUUUUUCUAAGGGUUUUCAUUUACAAUGUACUUGCAUUAACUUUAUGGUGAUCAUUAUGGUGUUUAUCAUUAGUCUAGUAGCACUCUUUAUGAUGAUCAUUAUGGUGUUUAUCAAUAGCACUCUUUAGCUGGUAUCCUUUGACACAUUUGAA
This is a long non-coding RNA of Esox lucius (northern pike), 2564 nucleotides long. The record is from Ensembl. Lineage: Eukaryota; Metazoa; Chordata; Actinopteri; Esociformes; Esocidae.